RNAcentral lists this ribosomal RNA (390 nucleotides) under uncultured bacterium. Its description in RNAcentral is "bacterial SSU rRNA". It matches the Rfam family "Bacterial small subunit ribosomal RNA", at positions 28 to 420 of the family's 1533-position model. The record is from RNAcentral.
GACGAGCGCUGGCGGCGUGCUUAACACAUGCAAGUCGAGCGGUAAGGCCCUUUCGGGGGUACACGAGCGGCGAACGGGUGAGUAACACGUGGGUGACCUGCCCUUAGCUCUGGGAUAAGCCUGGGAAACUGGGUCUAAUACCGGAUAUGACUCCAUGACGCAUGUUGUGGGGUGGAAAGCCUUGUGCGGCUAGGGAUGGGCCUGCGGCCUAUCAGCUUGUUGGUGGGGUGANGGCCUACCAAGGCGACGACGGGUAGCCGGCCUGAGAGGGCGACCGGCCACACUGGGACUGAGACACGGCCCAGACUCCUACGGGAGGCAGCAGUGGGGAAUCUUGCGCAAUGGGCGAAAGCCUGACGCAGCGACGCCGCGUGGGGAUGACGGCCUCGG